This 253-nucleotide ribosomal RNA is filed under the name uncultured bacterium. Its description in RNAcentral is "partial 16S ribosomal RNA". It matches the Rfam family "Bacterial small subunit ribosomal RNA", at positions 524 to 776 of the family's 1533-position model. The record is from RNAcentral.
UACGAAGGGGACUAGCGUUGUUCGGAAUCACUGGGCGUAAAGAGCUCGUAGGCGGCUUGUCGCGUCGAAUGUGAAAACUCGGGGCUCAACCCCGCGCUUGCAUUCGAUACGGGCAGGCUCGAGUUCGGUAGGGGAGACUGGAAUUCCUGGUGUAGCGGUGAAAUGCGCAGAUAUCAGGAGGAACACCGGUGGCGAAGGCGGGACUCUGGGCCGAUACUGACGCUGAGGAGCGAAAGCGUGGGGAGCAAACAGG